GCCAAGAGACAAAGCCCGCACUUCCGAGUGAGCGCAGACUUCUUCCAAGUGGGCCCCAUUCCACGGCAUCAUCUUCCCAGCACCUUUUUGGGGCUUAGCUGUCAGAACCUAUUCUUAAGAAGCACCGGAGCAGCAGCUUGCUUUGCUUGUAUGCCUUUUGUUUUUCGUUUUUCCAAAGGAUUAAUUGUCUGACUUGAUGUCUCACUUCUUUAACCAAAUUUGUUGCCAAAUGACGUUUGUUUCCAAAAUGUAGAUCCAGCAUCCGUAGACCGAUAGUAAGCGGGAGUUUGUGACCCAUGUUUAAGCCCUGAGCUCAGAGACUCCCCCUGAGUAUCCAGGCUCUCCGCAGACUCCUUUGAAGGGAGCAACGAUUAGGUGCGAAAGCUGUUGUACGUUUCUAUAAAGAGUAGCCUCGCAUUUCCGAGGACCCGCUACUCUUCCCAGGCUGAGCCCCGGCCUGCGCUCUGUAGCGCCACCUUCUGGCUCACAGCCACCUUUCCGUUUGCAUCCUUCUAGCCUUCCUUCCAUCCGUCGUCUUUUGACCACUGGCGCCCUGGUGCUGGGGGACGACAACGGUGACCUUUCACCUCCUUGAAGUCUAACCUAGACAGACUGUGUGUAUGGGCUCUGUGACCACAGUUCAUUUCAAGCCCUAUUUUUGAAAAUGGAAGUAUUUGGUAAAUCUAGGGAAUGGAUACGUGCAAUUUAAAAAUUCAAAUAUUGCAAAAGGGUGUGUGUCUUCCUCACUUCCCCUUCACAAAAAGCCCUGUGCUGUCUGUCUGUUGUGCAUCCUUCCAGGUACAGGCUGUGCGUGUGCAGGCCCACUUUGUACACUCCCCACUUUGUUCACACAGCUGUGGGAUGUUAUCCUGUAACAAUACAUCUGAGAGAUCUUUUUGUAUCCAUAUCACAAAUACCCCUUGCUCUUUUUCACGACCAUCCAGUAAGUGCUUCGUGAUAUAGAUGUGCUAUCUUUGACUUCACUAGUUUCCUAAUAAUGGACUUCUAGGUUGUUUCCUUUGUUUUGCUCUUGCAAAUAGUGCUACAAUAAAUG
RNAcentral lists this long non-coding RNA (1054 nucleotides) under Lynx pardinus (Iberian lynx). Lineage: Eukaryota; Metazoa; Chordata; Mammalia; Carnivora; Felidae. The record is from RNAcentral.